Non-coding RNA from Apiosordaria backusii, 85 nucleotides. The record is from the annotation of a GenBank genome assembly. NCBI's taxonomy places the organism in Eukaryota, Fungi, Ascomycota, Sordariomycetes, Sordariales, Lasiosphaeriaceae.
UCUUCCGUAGUAUAGUGGUCAGUAUGUGAGCUUGUCAUUCAAUCCGACAUCGCUCGAGACCCGGGUUCAAUUCCCGGCGGGAGAG